CAAUAGCGUAUAUUAAAGCUGUUGCGGUUAAAAAGCUCGUAGUUGGAUUUCUGUCAAGGACAACUGGUCCGCCCUCCGGGUGAGCACAUAGUUUGGUCUUGACAUCUUGCUGGAAACUGUUGCUGCGCUUGGUUGUGUGGUGCAGCUUUCAGCACUUUCACUUUGAGGAAAUUGGAGUGUUUCAAGCAGGCACAUGCCUUUGGACACAGUAGCAUGGAAUAAUUAGAUUGGGCUUUUGCUCCAACUUGUUGGUUCCUGGAGCUGAGGUGAGAAUCAAUGGGGAUUGUUGGGGGCAUCCGAAUUUAGCCGUCAGAGGUGAAAUUCUUGGAUCUGCUAAAGACGGACAACUGCGAAAGCGUUUGCCCAGGAUGUUUUCAUUGA
RNAcentral lists this ribosomal RNA (381 nucleotides) under uncultured eukaryote. RNAcentral's name for it is "partial 18S ribosomal RNA". It matches the Rfam family "Eukaryotic small subunit ribosomal RNA", at positions 592 to 976 of the family's 1831-position model. The record is from RNAcentral.